This 800-nucleotide ribosomal RNA is filed under the name Frankliniella occidentalis (western flower thrips). Its description in RNAcentral is "eukaryotic LSU rRNA". It matches the Rfam family "Eukaryotic large subunit ribosomal RNA", at positions 1 to 634 of the family's 3401-position model. Lineage: Eukaryota; Metazoa; Arthropoda; Insecta; Thysanoptera; Thripidae. The record is from RNAcentral.
GACCUCAGUUCAGGUGAGAUUACCGGCUGAAUUUAAGCAUAUUACUAAGCCGAGGAAAAGAAACUAACAAGGAUUCCCCUAGUAGCAGCGAGCGAACAGGGAAGAGCCCAGCGCUGAAUCCCCCGGGCCUCGCUCGGCGGGAAAUGUAGCGUUUGGGAGGGCCCGUCAACACGGCGACUCGCUCACUGGUUCAAGUCCAACUUGAAUGGGGCCACACAGAGGGUGACAGGCCCGUAGAGCAGGAGCGGUUGUCGUGUGGGUCUCUCCUUAGAGUCGGUUUGCUUGAGAGUGCAGACUUAAGUGGGUGGUAAACUCCAUCUAAGGCUAAAUAUGACCACGAGACCGAUAGCACACAAGUACCGUGAGGGAAAGGUGAAAAGAACUUUGAAGAGAGAGUUCAAGAGUACGUGAAACUGAAGUGGUGUAAACGGACGAGUUCGAAAAGUCCGAAUGGUGAGAUUCAAGCUUACCGUGCCGGUGGCCCUCGGGUUCAGAUGGCGUCGUCAGCUCGGGCUUCGGUUCGGGUCAUACGGCGUCACUCGUCCUGGGGGUAUCUGUCUGGUGCGGUGGGCUGCACUUCUCGCCUAGUAGGACGUCGCGACCCGUUGGGAUGUUCCGUUCACUGGCCCCUGGUGGAGCCCGCGCCGGAGCGUGGCCUUGUGCCGCGUUGCUGUUUGCACGGACCCGGGGUGACCUGAUCGGCGCCCGACGGUAUCAAAGCUUGGGAAGAGGCCGCACAGAGGAUGCGUUCGAUGGCCGUUUCGGCCUACACUCGGACAGGCCUGCACCCGGUCAGCGGC